This 428-nucleotide long non-coding RNA is filed under the name Sphaeramia orbicularis (orbiculate cardinalfish). RNAcentral's name for it is "lncRNA (ENSSORG00005005257.1)". The record is from RNAcentral. Lineage: Eukaryota; Metazoa; Chordata; Actinopteri; Kurtiformes; Apogonidae.
GGUAAGAGAUCGAAGCUUCUCUGAGCAAAGCGGAGCCUAUAUUCUUCCUCUUUGUACAAAAAAUGCUAAAUUCUUUUAUCGCAGAUCAUUUAAAGUCCAGGGAGGAACAACAGCGAGAGAAAAAGCUAAUGCAGAGACUGGUUGAAAUUGUGGACGGCAGAAAUGCAAUCGUGGAAGGUCUGGAUGAAGACAGACUGAGGGAGUUUGAAGAAGACCAAGAGUUAAAUGAAAUGAUGAAAAAUCUCGGGGUAAAGAAAGCCAAAACUAAGAGGAAAUCCUCCAUCUCCAAACUGUUCAGGCGAAGAAGUAAAAGACGAGUGGAGUGAUUAUUUUUACAAAACUGGAAAAAAAAAAGUGGAAAAGUUCAUGUAUUAUUAAUGCUUUUUUUUUUUUUUUUUUUACAGUUUUAUAUGUAUAUAUAACUGCAG